Molecule: long non-coding RNA, 879 nt
Organism: Aethalodelphis obliquidens (Pacific white-sided dolphin)
Lineage: Eukaryota; Metazoa; Chordata; Mammalia; Artiodactyla; Delphinidae
Exons: 2
Source: RefSeq, a predicted model, not a curated record
CGGGAGACUCCGGAUGCCAGACGCGCUCCGCAGCGGCGGCGGCGGCGGCCGCGCCUGAUUCAUUGCGCCAAAGCUGCAGAUGCGACCUCCCGCCUGCGCCCUGUGCCCCGGCCCGCGCCGGGCUGCGUGCGCGCCUGGAGAGAUGGGGGGGAGCGGCAAUUUGUAGGCGCUCCCCCCUCAAGAGGCGGGCCCCGGUCCCCCGGGGCCGGGUCCCCAGUCCCCAGCUCCCCGGGCUGCGCUAAUUAGCUUCUUCCGGGGGCGCCACGCGGCGUGAGGGGCGGCAAUUUCCCGGCUGGGCUGCGGGGGAAGCACUCCCACCGCCUGGGAAGUGCACCGUCUCCAUGGAAACCGCGGAGGAGGUCACGGUAGCUGGGCCCCCGCGCGUCACCCCGCGCCUCGCCGGCUGCAGGCGCCAGGAUUGCUGCCUCCCAGGCGCCGCGGCCCGCGUGGACUCUACUCCGAGUUCCCCGCCCCCGCUCCACUCCGCCCGCGGCUCAAGCCAUAUGACUCUGCCGGGUCCCAACCGGGAAGGGUGAACCUGGGCACCAGUGCGCUAGGCUAUACCUCUGUCCCCGGGCUCUGGCACGCGGGAAUGCUCCAAGACACACGUGCCCAGCUCCAAGACGGGGACACGUGCGGCGACACGCCGCCAAAGGGCUCCCUGCACUAGUGAAUGCCCCGCAGGAUCGACCUAUAUAGGCGCACAACUCCAGAGCUCUCUGCUAAAGCAAAACCACCUAUAGUUAAGAACCCUGAAGUCCGCCUGGGUUAUCUUACUAGCUAUGUGACUUCGGGCAAGUCACAACCUCUCUGCGUCUCGGCUUGCUCAUCAGCAAAAUGUAAUUGUCGGGUGGCUUGAGACAAAGUACGUGAAACGUU